Molecule: ribosomal RNA, 253 nt
Filed under: uncultured bacterium
Lineage: Bacteria
Description: partial 16S ribosomal RNA
Rfam family: Bacterial small subunit ribosomal RNA
Source: RNAcentral
UACAGAGGGGGCAAGCGUUGUUCGGAAUUAUUGGGCGUAAAGGGCGCGUAGGCGGCUUUUCAAGUGACGGGUGAAAUCCCUCGGCUUAACCGAGGAACUGCCUGUCAGACUGGAAGGCUUGAGACCGGGAGAGGUGAGUGGAAUUCCCAGUGUAGCGGUGAAAUGCGUAGAUAUUGGGAGGAACACCAGUGGCGAAGGCGGCUCACUGGACCGGAACUGACGCUGAGGCGCGAAAGCGUGGGUAGCAAACAGG